Molecule: long non-coding RNA, 290 nt
Filed under: Elaeis guineensis (African oil palm)
Lineage: Eukaryota; Viridiplantae; Streptophyta; Magnoliopsida; Arecales; Arecaceae
Description: long non-coding RNA (EGUI_LNC028905)
Source: RNAcentral
CGAACGUCGCACAUCGUGAGGGACCUUUUGUAGUUACAUGUGAUUUUCUUGUAGCCCACAAGUCACCAACAUUUAAAAGUUUAAGUAACCAUGUGUUUCUUAUGCUAAGCUCCGAGAUAUUAUGAUUCUGAGGCUCUGUACAAAGUUUGGCACCACGUAUCAAUAUUUGUGAAAUUAUUGGAUUGUAAUGUUCAUGACAUAAAAGCUUUUAUGCGAGGCUCCUUUAAUCUGAUAAUUGUGGUGAAAAGUUAUAGAUCAUGAUUGAUUCACACCAAUUCCCUCACCAUUAG